GAGUGAUCGAAAGAUGAAAAGCACUUUGAAAAGAGAGUUAAACAGCACGUGAAAUUGUUGAAAGGGAAGCGUUUGCGACCAGACUCGCCCGCGGGGUUCAGCCGGCACUCGUGCCGGUGUACUUCCCCGUGGGCGGGCCAGCGUCGGUUUGGGCGGCCGGUCAAAGGCCCUCGGAAUGUAUCACUCUCGGGGUGUCUUAUAGCCGAGGGUGCAAUGCGGCCUGCCCGGACCGAGGAACGCGYUCGG
RNAcentral lists this ribosomal RNA (246 nucleotides) under Aspergillus fischeri var. fischeri. RNAcentral's name for it is "partial large subunit ribosomal RNA". It matches the Rfam family "Eukaryotic large subunit ribosomal RNA", at positions 351 to 604 of the family's 3401-position model. Lineage: Eukaryota; Fungi; Ascomycota; Eurotiomycetes; Eurotiales; Aspergillaceae. The record is from RNAcentral.